RNAcentral lists this ribosomal RNA (253 nucleotides) under uncultured bacterium. Its description in RNAcentral is "partial 16S ribosomal RNA". It matches the Rfam family "Bacterial small subunit ribosomal RNA", at positions 524 to 776 of the family's 1533-position model. The record is from RNAcentral.
UACGGGGGGGGCAAGCGUUGUUCGGAAUUACUGGGCGUAAAGGGCUCGUAGGUGGCCAACUAAGUCAGACGUGAAAUCCCUCGGCUUAACCGGGGAACUGCGUCUGAUACUGGAUGGCUUGAGUUUGGGAGAGGGAAGCGGAAUUCCCGGUGUAGUGGUGAAAUGCGUAGAUAUCGGGAGGAACACCAGUGGCGAAGGCGGCUUCCUGGCCUGUUCUUGACGCUGAGGCGCGAAAGCUAGGGGAGCAAACGGG